UACGGGGGGUGCGAGCGUUGUCCGGAAUCAUUGGGCGUAAAGAGUUCGUAGGUGGUUUGUUAAGUUUGGUGUUAAAGGCGCAGGCUCAACCUGUGUACGGCAUCGGAUACUGGCAGACUAGGAUGCGGUAGGGGUAAAGGGAAUUUCUGGUGUAGCGGUGAAAUGCUUAGAUAUCAGGAAGAACAUCGGUGGCGUAAGCGCUUUACUCGGCCGUAAUUGACGCUGAGGAACGAAAGCCAGGGUAGCAAAU
RNAcentral lists this ribosomal RNA (250 nucleotides) under uncultured prokaryote. Its description in RNAcentral is "partial 16S ribosomal RNA". It matches the Rfam family "Bacterial small subunit ribosomal RNA", at positions 524 to 773 of the family's 1533-position model. The record is from RNAcentral.